This 430-nucleotide ribosomal RNA is filed under the name Tsukamurella sp. RNAcentral describes it as "bacterial SSU rRNA". It matches the Rfam family "Bacterial small subunit ribosomal RNA", at positions 45 to 491 of the family's 1533-position model. The record is from RNAcentral. Lineage: Bacteria; Bacillati; Actinomycetota; Actinomycetes; Mycobacteriales; Tsukamurellaceae.
UGCUUACACAUGCAAGUCGAACGGUAAGGCCCUUUCGGGGGUACACGAGUGGCGAACGGGUGAGUAACACGUGGGUGACCUGCCCUGUACUUCGGGAUAAGCCUGGGAAACUGGGUCUAAUACCGGAUAUGACCUUCUCCUGCAUGGGGGUUGGUGGAAAGCUUUUGCGGUACAGGAUGGGCCCGCGGCCUAUCAGCUUGUUGGUGGGGUAAUGGCCUACCAAGGCGACGACGGGUAGCCGGCCUGAGAGGGCGACCGGCCACACUGGGACUGAAACACGGCCCAAACUCCUACGGGAGGCAGCAGUGGGGAAUAUUGCACAAUGGGCGAAAGCCUGAUGCAGCGACGCCGCGUGAGGGAUGACGGCCUUCGGGUUGUAAACCUCUUUCAGUAGGGACGAAGCGCAAGUGACGGUACCUACAGAAGAAGC